Molecule: ribosomal RNA, 484 nt
Filed under: uncultured bacterium
Lineage: Bacteria
Description: partial 16S ribosomal RNA
Rfam family: Bacterial small subunit ribosomal RNA
Source: RNAcentral
GAUGAACGCUGGCGGCGUGCUUAACACAUGCAAGUCGAACGGUGAAGCAGGAGCUUGCUCUUGUGGAUCAGUGGCGAACGGGUAAGUAACACGUGAGCAACCUGCCCCUGACUCUGGGAUAAGCGCUGGAAACGGCGUCUAAUACUGGAUAUGUGAUGUGGCCGCAUGGUCUGCAUCUGGAAAGAAUUUCGGUUGGGGAUGGGCUCGCGGCCUAUCAGCUUGUUGGUGAGGUAAUGGCUCACCAAGGCGUCGACGGGUAGCCGGCCUGAGAGGGUGACCGGCCACACUGGGACUGAGACACGGCCCAGACUCCUACGGGAGGCAGCAGUGGGGAAUAUUGCACAAUGGGCGGAAGCCUGAUGCAGCAACGCCGCGUGAGGGAUGACGGCCUUCGGGUUGUAAACCUCUUUUAGCAGGGAAGAAGCGAAAGUGACGGUACCUGCAGAAAAAGCAUCGGCUAACUACGUGCCAGCAGCCGCCGUAA